AACAGGGCCUCUCUACCUCUCCAGUCUGCAGAUCUGGCUCCAGGGCUGACAACAUGAAGACUUCCUGGAAGUGGGGCCAGCCAAUCCUCUGAGGGCCUCCAACAGACUGUGUGUUUGGGCCCUUAGCUGCUGGGCUGGGGCAAUGUAUGCCUGCCUGUGAGCGGAAGGCCUGUCUUAUCUUGAGCUUCUUGCCAUUGACUACACCUUCAGUGAGAGCUGCCGUGAGCUCCAGGAGAACUGAUUUCUGCUUUAGGCAAUCUACCUGGACACAGGGGAUGAGCAGAGGUAUGUGGUCAGUGAGAUGGAGGUCUUGAAGGAAAAUAAACCCCUUCCUAAGAUAUGUGGUGCUCACCUUGUUCAUGACAAGGAUGCUGGGGACUUGGGAGAACUGGGUCAAGCACUGAAGCACUUGGGGGCUGAGCUGGUUCCGAGUCCACUUGUCAGAGACAUCCACAAGAACCACAACUAGAAGUUAGCAGAUGAGAUCCAGGAGGAUGAUGACUGUGAAUAUACAGAAGAUUAGGAGGCAGUAAAGAGAAUAUGAAACCUUUCUGACUAGAUGCCAGAGGGGAAAGGCACAGAGAGAACUGCUCCAGGCCUAACGGAAAAGUAGACCCUUUUUCCUCAGAGAGGUACGCACCACUUGGGCUUCUUCCUCUGUGAUGACCCCCAGAGCUUGGCAGCGAGUGGUGUGCACCUUCUGGGAGACAGGAAACACCUGCCAGGAACAAAGAAGUUCCAAGUGAGGUCCCAGCUCCCUUUAAAAUAAUACAUGGAGAGAUGAAAAGGGUAUGUGUGUGGCAGAGAGCAAGGAUGCAGCAUACUUUUC
Long non-coding RNA from Molossus molossus (Pallas's mastiff bat), 829 nucleotides. RefSeq lists it as uncharacterized. The transcript is spliced from 4 exons. The record is from RefSeq and is a predicted model, not a curated record. NCBI's taxonomy places the organism in Eukaryota, Metazoa, Chordata, Mammalia, Chiroptera, Molossidae.